This 484-nucleotide ribosomal RNA is filed under the name uncultured bacterium. Its description in RNAcentral is "partial 16S ribosomal RNA". It matches the Rfam family "Bacterial small subunit ribosomal RNA", at positions 30 to 507 of the family's 1533-position model. The record is from RNAcentral.
AUUGAACGCUGGCGGCAGGCCUAACACAUGCAGGUCGAGCGGAUGAAGGGAGCUUGCUCCUGGAUUCAGCGGCGGACGGGUGAGUAAUGCCUAGGAAUCUGCCUGGUAGUGGGGGAUAACGUCCGGAAACGGGCGCUAAUACCGCAUACGUCCUGAGGGAGAAAGUGGGGGAUCUUCGGACCUCUCGCUAUCAGAUGAGCCUAGGUCGGAUUAGCUAGUUGGUGGGGUAAAGGCCUACCAAGGCGACGAUCCGUAACUGGUCUGAGAGGAUGAUCAGUCACACUGGAACUGAGACACGGUCCAGACUCCUACGGGAGGCAGCAGUGGGGAAUAUUGGACAAUGGGCGAAAGCCUGAUCCAGCCAUGCCGCGUGUGUGAAGAAGGUCUUCGGAUUGUAAAGCACUUUAAGUUGGGAGGAAGGGCAGUAAGUUAAUACCUUGCUGUUUUGACGUUACCAACAGAAUAAGCACCGGCUAACUUCGUG